Cebus imitator (Panamanian white-faced capuchin) is the source of this 100-nucleotide long non-coding RNA. RefSeq lists it as uncharacterized. Lineage: Eukaryota; Metazoa; Chordata; Mammalia; Primates; Cebidae. The record is from RefSeq and is a predicted model, not a curated record. The transcript is spliced from 3 exons.
GCGGUGGCUCACGCCUGUAAUCCCAGCACUUUGGGAGGCCAAGGUGGGUGGAUCACCUGAGGUCAGGAGUUCGAGACCAGCGUGGCCAACAUGGUGAAAC